CCUCUUACCUUAGCAUUAAUUAGUUAUUUCCCGCCAAAUAUAUCAUUCUAACUUUUGGGAAGAAAUUUGUCAUUCUAUAUUUUAACUCUUAUUUAACUAUAUUUUAAUCUGGAUAGAGUGACAUGUCCUUAACGGCAAGGAUAUUUAUGAUAAUUUUAUGUGUUUGAAGAGGUAUUUAUGAUAUUUUAAAGUUUAAAGGAGUAUUCACAAAAUUUAUAAGUUUGAUAAGGUUACUAAUGAAACUGUCCUUUUUCUUUAUAAUAAUAAUUUCAUAUAAUUUAGGGUAGACUUCAAAUACCAACCCUGUGAUUUUGCACUUUUUCACUUUAGUAUCAUAUAGUUUAAAAAGUAUCACUUUAUUACCCUAUGGCUUCGUUUUUCUCUUUUCAUUAGCACCUUCAUUAACUCUUCAUUAAAUUAUAUAUAAAAAACUUCAAAUACUCCACCUAAGCUUUAUUGAAUAUUCACUUUUAUAUCCUGUAGUUUACCAAAUUUUUAUAUUAGUACUUUAUGGUUUUAACUUUAUCACUGAUAUAAUUGAAAAAUUAAUGGAGGGGAUAAUAGAAAGAGAAAUUUAUUAAAUAUAUUAACUUUAUUAAAAUUAAUAAUGAAAUAAAUAUAAAAACUCAAAUAAAAAAGUAGAGGUUAAAGGGGUGU
RNAcentral lists this long non-coding RNA (657 nucleotides) under Ananas comosus (pineapple). RNAcentral's name for it is "long non-coding RNA (ACOM_LNC038559)". The record is from RNAcentral. Lineage: Eukaryota; Viridiplantae; Streptophyta; Magnoliopsida; Poales; Bromeliaceae.